GUCUCUAUGGAAGCACAUAUACCAAAAUUAGGACAAUAGAAAAUUAGCACGGCCACUGAGCAAGGAUGACACAUAAAUUUGUGAAGAAUCCCAUAUUUUA
This 100-nucleotide small nuclear RNA is filed under the name Phascolarctos cinereus (koala). The record is from RNAcentral. Lineage: Eukaryota; Metazoa; Chordata; Mammalia; Diprotodontia; Phascolarctidae.